GUCGUAACAAGGUCUCCGUUGGUGAACCAGCGGAGGGAUCAUUACCGAGUUUACAACUCCCAAACCCCUGUGAACAUACCACUUGUUGCCUCGGCGGAUCAGCCCGCUCCCGGUAAAACGGGACGGCCCGCCAGAGGACCCCUAAAACUCUGUUUCUAUAUGUAACUUCUGAGUAAAACCAUAAAUAAAUCAAAACUUUCAACAACGGAUCUCUUGGUUCUGGCAUCGAUGAAGAACGCAGCAAAAUGCGAUAAGUAAUGUGAAUUGCAGAAUUCAGUGAAUCAUCGAAUCUUUGAACGCACAUUGCGCCCGCCAGUAUUCUGGCGGGCAUGCCUGUUCGAGCGUCAUUUCAACCCUCAAGCACAGCUUGGUGUUGGGACUCGCGUUAAUUCGCGUUCCUCAAAUUGAUUGGCGGUCACGUCGAGCUUCCAUAGCGUAGUAGUAAAACCCUCGUUACUGGUAAUCGUCGCGGCCACGCCGUUAAACCCCAACUUCUGAAUGUUGACCUCGGAUCAGGUAGGAAUACCCGCUG
Molecule: ribosomal RNA, 532 nt
Filed under: Fusarium oxysporum
Lineage: Eukaryota; Fungi; Ascomycota; Sordariomycetes; Hypocreales; Nectriaceae
Description: eukaryotic LSU rRNA
Rfam family: 5.8S ribosomal RNA (bases 194-347)
Source: RNAcentral